AUUGAGAGUUUGAUCCUGGCUCAGGACGAACGCUGGCGGCGUGCCUAACACAUGCAAGUCGAGCGAUGAAGCUUCUUCGGAAGUGGAUUAGCGGCGGACGGGUGAGUAACAC
Molecule: ribosomal RNA, 112 nt
Filed under: Clostridium botulinum
Lineage: Bacteria; Bacillati; Bacillota; Clostridia; Eubacteriales; Clostridiaceae
Description: partial 16S ribosomal RNA
Rfam family: Bacterial small subunit ribosomal RNA
Source: RNAcentral